AACGCAUCUUGCGCUCCUUGGCAUUCCGAGGAGCAUGCCUGUUUGAGUGUCGUGAAGUAACUCAAUUUCAAUCUUUUUGUUUGAAAUUGGAUUUGGACGUUGUUGUGGAUCACGACUCGUCCCAAAUGCAUUAGCGAUCUGCCUUUGAUCACACACAAUGUGAUAAGAAAUUGAGCAUUGUUAGGAUUCAAGUCAGGGUUGCUUCCAACUGUCGAAAGACAACGCAUAUAUGUCAKUUGACCUCAGAUCAGGUAGGACUACCCGCUGAACUUAA
RNAcentral lists this unclassified non-coding RNA (274 nucleotides) under uncultured Geastrales. RNAcentral's name for it is "sequence contains 5.8S rRNA gene, ITS2, 28S rRNA gene". Lineage: Eukaryota; Fungi; Basidiomycota; Agaricomycetes; Geastrales. The record is from RNAcentral.